UAAAACGGAACGUGAGAGAGUCCCCU
RNAcentral lists this non-coding RNA (26 nucleotides) under Rattus norvegicus (Norway rat). Lineage: Eukaryota; Metazoa; Chordata; Mammalia; Rodentia; Muridae. The record is from RNAcentral.